RNAcentral lists this ribosomal RNA (222 nucleotides) under uncultured bacterium. Its description in RNAcentral is "partial 16S ribosomal RNA". It matches the Rfam family "Bacterial small subunit ribosomal RNA", at positions 109 to 334 of the family's 1533-position model. The record is from RNAcentral.
AGUAAUGCUUGGGAAUCUGGCUUAUGGAGGGGGAUAACGGCGGGAAACUGUCGCUAAUACCGCGUAUUAUCGGAAGAUGAAAGUGCGGGACUGAGAGGCCGCAUGCCAUAGGAUGAGCCCAAGUGGGAUUAGGUAGUUGGUGGGGUAAAGGCCUACCAAGCCUGCGAUCUCUAGCUGGUCUGAGAGGAUGACCAGCCACACUGGAACUGAGACACGGUCCAG